Molecule: unclassified non-coding RNA, 267 nt
Filed under: Phylloporus sp.
Lineage: Eukaryota; Fungi; Basidiomycota; Agaricomycetes; Boletales; Boletaceae
Description: partial contains small subunit ribosomal RNA, internal transcribed spacer 1, and 5.8S ribosomal RNA
Rfam family: Eukaryotic small subunit ribosomal RNA (bases 1-46)
Source: RNAcentral
AAGUCGUAACAAGGUUUCCGUAGGUGAACCUGCGGAAGGAUCAUUAACAAAUCUAACAACAACCAUGUGCAAACGUUUGUUCCCUUGGGAUGCGAGAGAGAGGGGCAUGCAUGAUGUACACACACCUUAGGGUCUGCAGCACAUCAUCAUCAUCUUUCCUUGCUACACACCCAAGGGAAUAUCCACUUAUCAUUGACUAUUGAUUGACAAGCCUUAAGAUGAUAUCAUAACGUUAAACAACUUUUAACAAUGGAUCUCUUGGCUCUU